RNAcentral lists this ribosomal RNA (3900 nucleotides) under Triticum aestivum (bread wheat). RNAcentral describes it as "partial small subunit ribosomal RNA". The record is from RNAcentral. Lineage: Eukaryota; Viridiplantae; Streptophyta; Magnoliopsida; Poales; Poaceae.
AUGGAGGCGGCGUUCGACGCCUACUUCCGCGCGGCGGAUCUGGACCGCGACGGCCGGAUCAGCGGCCAGGAGGCCGUCGCCUUCUUCAAGGGCUCCGGCCUCCCGCAGCCCGUCCUAGCUCAGAUCUGGACAUAUGCUGAUAAAAACCGGACUGGGUUUCUUGGGCGUGAAGAUUUUUUCAACUCGCUUAAACUAGUGACAGUCGCACAGAGUGGCCGACAGUUGACACCGGACAUUGUUAAGUCAGCAUUAUUCGGUCCCGCCGCUGCAAAAAUUCCUGCUCCCCGUAUAAAUAUCCCAACCGCAGCUCCUCAGCCAAAUAGUGUCGCUAGCCCCCCGCAGCCGACUCAGGCAUUAGGUCCUCGUCAACAGACACCAGUUGUAAAUGGAUCACAGGGCCCUCCUGGAUCAUCAUUGAACCUACAAGUACCCCAAUCGGGUAAUCUUGUUAGGCCGCCACAACCUCCAAGUGCAAACACCCCACAAGUACCCCAACAGGGUCAUCCUGUUAGGCCGCCACAACCUCCAAGUGCAAACACCCCACAAGUACCCCAACCGGGUCAUCCUGUUAGACCGCCACAACCUCCAAAUGCAAACAUCCCCCCUGCUCAGGGAAUUGCGCCAAGGCCACCCGUAGGAGGUGGUCUAAGUGGGCUAAAUCAGGCUGGUUCAACGACGGCAAAUCUAUCCACCGAUUGGUUCAGUGGCAAGAAAAGUGCAAGUCCAUUGGGAGGUACUUCACAAGCUCCAGUUAGAGGUGCUUCUCCACAGGUGAACCUUGGUACCGUGGGAAUACCAACACAGAGUUCAACUCCUGCAGCCCAGACACCGGCUAUUACGACAUCUGUAAAGCCAAAUCCAACAGAUCUAAACAUUCUGUCUUCACAACCAGCUGUUAAUGACUCCAAGGCAUUGGUUCCCUUGGGAAAUGGAUCGCCGUCCAACUCAAGUUUUGGGGUUGAUCCUUUCUCUGCAACUCCACAACCAACGCAAAAUUCGUCUUCCCCCCAUGUUUCAAAUGGCUUGCAUGGUUCUACAGCCCUUGGCCCAGCUGCUGGACCUCAUCACCCCCCUAAGCCAAUGCCGCCUGGUCCUGUGCAGGGUAUAUCAUCGUUGCUUUCUCAUACUGGCCAGGUGCCACCAAACCAGCCAGCUCCUAAGCAGAACCAGUUUAAUAGCAUACCGAGCACUCCAGGACCACUGAAUGCUAACAUCCCUGGUGGACAAAUUCCUACAAAUCAAAAACAGUUUCAGGCCCCAUGGCCCAAGAUCACUCAAGCAGAUGUCAGGAAAUAUAUGAUUGUAUUUAUUAAGGUAGACAGAGAUCGAGAUGGGAAGAUCACUGGUGAAGAGGCAAGGAAUCUGUUUUUAAGUUGGAGGUUGCCAAGAGAGAUCUUAAGGAAGGUGUGGGAUUUGUCCGACCAGGAUAAGGAUGGGAUGCUGUCCUUCAAGGAAUUUUGUUUUGCUGUGUACUUAAUGGAGAGGUUCCGAGAGCAGAGACCACUUCCUGAUGUAUUACCAGAUGGUAUUUGGGCGGAGGGAAUUUCACUACCCUCUACUGGCCAGUUUGCAGAGAACCCUAGUGGCCCGGCUCCCAAUCAAAGUGCUGGGUUUGCAAGUAGAGCAAUGCAAGGACCACAUCCUGGAAUGCCUCCUUCAUCUGUGAAGCAACAACAUCGAAGGCCUCUUCAUUUUGAUGAUGAUACUAUGCCGACUGAACCACAAAAACCUAAGGUCCCAGCAUUGGAGAAACAUUUGGUUGGCCAGCUUAGCAAAGAGGAACAAAAUGCACUCGAAGCGAAGUUCAAGGAAGCUUCAGAUGCUGAUAAAAAGGUUCAAGAGUUGGAAAAGGAAAUACUGGAUUCCAGGGAGAAGACUGAUUACUAUCGCACCAAGAUGCAGGAGCUGAUUCUCUACAAGAGUAGGUGUGAUAACAGGUUUAAUGAAGUCUCAGAAAGUAUGUCUGCUGAUAAGCGCGAGGUUCAAUCCCUUUCGGCCAAAUAUGAUGAGAGAUGCAAGAAGGUUGGAGAUGUGGCAUCAAAGCUAUCAAUGGACGAGGCUACUUUCCGUGAGAUCCAGGCGAAGAAAUUGGAAAUUUAUAAUUCUAUAGUUAAGCUGCAGAAAGGGGAUGGAGAUGACGAUAAGCUUCAGGAGCGGGCUAAUCAGAUACAAUCUGAACUUGAGGAGCUCGUGAAAUCUUUAAAUGAACAGUGCAAGAGAUAUGGAUUGAGAGCUAAGCCAACUACUUUAGUGGAGCUUCCUUUUGGUUGGCAACCUGGAAUACAAGAGACAGCUGCUGUGUGGGAUGAAGAAUGGGAUAGAUUUGCAGAAGAUGGGUUCUCUAUAAUCAAGGAACUCACAGUCGAAGUGGAGCCUCCUGCUGUAAAAGAAAGUCAUCCUGCUGUUGAAGAUGGCAAAGUUUCUAGCAACGGGGUAUCAACAGCUACAACAACAGAGAAAGAAGAUAACAAGAGUGAUAAAACUGCUGCUGCUGAGCAGGCCGUAGAACCUGAAGCAACUGGUUCGAACGGCAAAGCAGAAUCAGCAAAAAAUCCUCCUGUUAGUCCCGUAAAGAAGGCAACGGAUGGGCAUACUAAUGAACCUGAUAAAAAGCCAUCGGGGACAAAUGCUGACUCACCACGUGCUGCUGACAGUAUGAGCAACGAUGGAGCAUCUGAUUCCCCUGUUCGUGGAGAUAAAGCCAAUAAUAGACAUUCUUGGGGCCCAUCUUUUGAUCAUGGUGAUGAUAAUGACUCCCUAUGGAACUUCGGUGAUAAGGAUGGUGAGAAUGGUGGUGAUUCAGAUCUAUUCUUUGGGCCAGGAGGUCUUCCCCCCAUAAGGACAGGGGGUUCUACAUCUGCUAGCGCUUUUGGGAAGGAACAGAAACCGAUGUUUGAUUCUGUCCCAGGCACUCCAAUGGAGAAGCCGUUCUUUGAUUCUGUCCCAGGCACGCCGCUGCAGAAAUCCGUCUUUGAUUAUUCCGUCCCAAGUACACCGAUGCAGAAUUCAUCCUUCGACUACUCUGUUCCAAGUACACCGAUGCAGAAGUCGCUCUUCGACUCUUCUGUUCCAAGUACACCGAUGCAAAGAUCACUCUUUGAUUCUUCUGUGCCCAGCACGCCGAUGCAGAAAUCACUGUUUGAUUCUUCUGUUCCAAGCACACCAAUGGGGAAUUCAUUCUACGACUCUUUCCCGAGCACCCCAAUGCAGGGUUCACUCUUUGAUUCUGGUCCAGGCAGAGUGGAGUCUCCUACGGCCGGGAGCACCUAUGGCGGCGGUCAGCAGAAGGGAUUCUUCGACUCUUCCGUUCCAAGCACGCCGAUGUACAACUCCAGCUUCUCGCCAAGGUACAGCGAAGCCGGGGACGACAGCUCGUUCGACACCUUCUCCCAGAUGGACUCCUUUGGCGCGAAAGACAGCAGUUCGUUCGGGCAGCCGCGUGACAGCUUCUCACGGUUCGAUUCCUUCGGGAGCAGCGCUGAGCUCGGUGGCAGCAACGACGCAUUUGGGAGGUUUGAUUCUUUCCGCAGCAACGCCGACCAGGGUGGUGGCAGCAGCUUCAUGAGGUAUGAUUCCAUGAGCAGCAACGCCGACCAGGGCACUGGCAACAACAACAGCUUCAUGAGGUACGACUCCAUGAGCAGCAAUGCCGAUCAAGGUGGCGGCAACAACAACAACAGCUUCAUGAGGUACGACUCCAUGAGCAGCAAUGCCGACCACGACAGAAGCAACGUGUUUGCGAGGUUUGACUCGAUGAAGAGCACCGACUCCCACGACCGGGGCUACUCCUUCGACGACGACGACGACCCUUUCGGCACCGGGCCCUUCAAGCCGUCCAAGCCGUCGACGGAGACCUCCAGCCCGACGAGACAUGGGACCGACAAGUGGAGCGCGUUUUGA